Molecule: small nucleolar RNA, 101 nt
Organism: Suncus etruscus (white-toothed pygmy shrew)
Lineage: Eukaryota; Metazoa; Chordata; Mammalia; Eulipotyphla; Soricidae
Product: small nucleolar RNA U13
Exons: 1
Source: RefSeq, a predicted model, not a curated record
AUCAUUUUUAGGAUCCUACAAUGAGGACUGGAUGUUCACACAUCUAUGACAUGUGUCUUCCUCCAAUAUUAUUAAGACUCUGGCACACUACCUGUCUGAUA